AACUAACAAGGAUUCCCUAGUAACGGCGAGUGAAGCGGGAUGAGCUCAAAUUUAAAAUCUGAUGGUCUACGGCCGUCCGAGUUGUAAUCUAGAGAGGUGUUUUCCGUGCCGGACCGUGUACAAGUCCCUUGGAACAGGGCGUCAUAGAGGGUGAGAAUCCCGUCCAUGACACGGACUCCCGGUGCUCUGUGAUACACCUUCAAAGAGUCGAGUUGUUUGGGAAUGCAGCUCAAAAUGGGUGGUAAAUUCCAUCUAAAGCUAAAUACAGGCGAGAGACCGAUAGCGAACAAGUACCGUGAGGGAAAGAUGAAAAGAACUUUGGAAAGAGAGUUAAACAGUACGUGAAAUUGUUGAAAGGGAAACGCUUGGAGUCAGUCGCGUCUGCUGGGACUCAGCCUUGCUUCUGCUUGGUUUACUUCUCAGUAGAUGGGCCAGCAUCAAUUUUGGGUGCCGGAAAAUGGCGGGAGGAAUGUGGCAGCUUGCUGUGUUAUAGCCUCCCGUCGUACACGGUGUCUGGGAUUGAGGACUGCAGCACGCCUUCGGUAGGGCUUAGGCCACUCCACGUGCUUAGGAUGCUGGCG
Molecule: ribosomal RNA, 581 nt
Filed under: uncultured Exidia
Lineage: Eukaryota; Fungi; Basidiomycota; Agaricomycetes; Auriculariales; Exidiaceae
Description: eukaryotic LSU rRNA
Rfam family: Eukaryotic large subunit ribosomal RNA
Source: RNAcentral